This is a long non-coding RNA of Peromyscus leucopus (white-footed mouse), 194 nucleotides long. RefSeq lists it as uncharacterized. The transcript has 2 exons. The record is from RefSeq and is a predicted model, not a curated record. Lineage: Eukaryota; Metazoa; Chordata; Mammalia; Rodentia; Cricetidae.
CUUGUGAGGCCAGAAGUUGAGGCCAUGUGCACCUCCUUUCAGGAAAAUGCUGCUGCAUUUAUGGGACACUAUUUGCACGAAGUCGGCAGAAGACAUCCUUACUUCUAUGGCCCAGAGCUCCUUUACUAUGCUGAGAAGUACAAUGCCAUCAUGACUGAGUGCUGUGCAGAAGCUGACAAAGCUGCCUGCUUGAC